CAGCAGACCGGCCCUACCUGGCUUCCAUGGCAACAGCAUUAUAUUGGCAGCCCUGGGAACGAGAAGUCUGGACGCUACCAUGCGUUUGGAAAGCUUCUCAGGAAGUUGGCCCGUGGCUGUCUAGCUGCCAGCCCCUGGGACUCCUAAGAACUAAAUGUUUUCUUCCACAAGUUGUAAAACUAAGCAAAGAAGAAAAUCCCCUUUGGCCUGUGAGGAAAUGCUCUAAGCGUGUUUCUUCACGGACCUUUUGAAGGACAUCUUGGUUGCUUCCAAGUGUGGGCAGCUAUGAAUAAAGCUGCUAUGAACAUUCACCUGCAGGUUAAGGAACAUAUUUGAUGGAUUGCAUGGAAACCAACAUAUUCCAUCUCCUGAACUCAGAGACCCCAGGUCCCUACCCCAACUUCA
Lontra canadensis (Northern American river otter) is the source of this 405-nucleotide long non-coding RNA. RefSeq lists it as uncharacterized. NCBI's taxonomy places the organism in Eukaryota, Metazoa, Chordata, Mammalia, Carnivora, Mustelidae. The record is from RefSeq and is a predicted model, not a curated record. The transcript is spliced from 3 exons.